RNAcentral lists this ribosomal RNA (494 nucleotides) under uncultured bacterium. RNAcentral describes it as "partial 16S ribosomal RNA". The stretch from base 69 to 494 matches the Rfam family "Bacterial small subunit ribosomal RNA", at positions 39 to 507 of the family's 1533-position model. The record is from RNAcentral.
GGGGGGGGGGGGGGGGGGGGGGGGGGGGGGGAGGGGGGGGGGGGGGGGGGGUUCGGGGUUGGGGGGGGGGGGUGGGUGGGGGAGGGGGGAGGAACGCGGGGGUGACCGGCGGGCUUCUUGUGGGUAAGCGCAUGAGAGUGUGGGUAGGACAGGAUAUCCGGGGUCUGUCGAAUGAUGGGUAUGGGAACGCUGUGGGUCCGGUGGGGUGGGGGUUCGCGGCCUAUCAGCUGGUUGGUGGGGUGUUGGCGUACCAGGGCGGUGACUGGUAGCCGGCCUGAGCGCGUGGACGGUCACACUGGGACUGAGACACGGCCCAGACUCCUACGGGAGGCAGCAGGGGGGAAUAUUGCACAAUGGGCGCAAGCCUGAUGCAGCGACGCCGCGUGAGGGAUGGAGGCCUUCGGGUUGUGAACCUCUUACGCCAGUGAAGCAGGCCUGCCUCGUUUGUGGGUGGGUUGACGGUAGCUGGAUAAGAAGCGCCGGCUAACUACGUG